Salmo salar (Atlantic salmon) is the source of this 54-nucleotide non-coding RNA. The record is from Rfam. NCBI's taxonomy places the organism in Eukaryota, Metazoa, Chordata, Actinopteri, Salmoniformes, Salmonidae.
UGCAUUCACUACUGUAAGUCACUCUGGAUAAGAGUGUCUGCUAAAUUACUAAAA